AGGAGCCUUCCUUUUCCAUCUUCUGAGGAACCCCCCCCCGCCGCCGUGGUCCCUUUUAUUUUCCAGGUCUUUCCUGCCAGAUCCCUCUUUCGCCAGGGACGGCUCUGUCGUUGCCUUCCUCUCUCUAGCCUGCCGGGCUCAGCCUCCCUCUCCCCUUCCCCAUCCAGCCUGGACACCCCUCAACCUCCCUGGCCCUCCCUACCCCCAGCCUGCGCCACCCCCACCCCCACGCUUUGGCAAUUUUUUUUUUUUUUUUUGCUGCGAGCCUUGUUUACCCAGCAGGUGGAUGUGACGUCAGGGACGCACAACAGCAAAAAUAACAACAUCUCCUUCCGCGACGUGUCGGCCUCUCGCGCUCGCCUUAUUUAUUUAUUUGUUCCGGGAGGCCGGGGAGGGGGGGCCGGGCGGAAUGCGAACAGACUGAGUGGGCAGGAGAGCGGGGAGGGCUCGCGCGCCGGGGGUGCUGAGGGAGCUUGGGGGUGCUCGAGGCAGAGAGGGACCCCCGGCAGGAAGCCGGGGAACAGCCGCAGGGCGCCCCCAACGCGGCGCUGCCUGCGUCUGUGCCGCCGCCGCCGGCCGGGCUCCGGGAAGCUAGUCCCGAGCGGAGGAAUCUAUUGUUAUUUAUUGUGUGGCGGUUGCAUGCUGUACUCGCGGCGGCCCGGCCCUCGCCCGGAGUGCUGGUGUGCGCGCGUGUGUGCGCGAGUGAGUGUGUGCGCGGGGGUGCGCGCGCGGGCGGGAGUGGGCGCGCGCGGGGAAAGGCCCGAAAACACCUUAGUUUGCACCGAGAGACCAUUUGCAGCGGUGUUCCAGGAGCUUUCGCUGACAAACAUUCCAGUUUCCAAACGAAUCAUUUGGGCAAUGGUGAUCCCUUCUCCAGUCUGCUGUCGGCCAUGAAUGGAUGGAUGUGAUGCCUGCUAGCCGAAAGGUGUCCUUCUGUGUGUUGCAGUCCUGUGGCAUUAUGCAUGCCCCCUACCAGUGACCCCCAGGCUUUUUAUGGCUGUGAGCCGUGUUAAAAGUUCAAGGUAAGCUGCGAAUCCCACUAACGGUAUGCGUCACCUAAAAAUUGCCUUCUACCUCCACUGUAGUGCAUAUAACAGUUCCACAGAAGAUAGUGGACUCCCCCC
This 1124-nucleotide long non-coding RNA is filed under the name Dasypus novemcinctus (nine-banded armadillo). Its description in RNAcentral is "lncRNA (ENSDNOG00000050430.1)". The record is from RNAcentral. Lineage: Eukaryota; Metazoa; Chordata; Mammalia; Cingulata; Dasypodidae.